CCUACGGGAGGCUGCAGUGAGGAAUAUUGGUCAAUGGUCGGAAGCCUGAACCAGCCAAGUAGCGUGCGGGAUGACGGCCCUACGUGUUGUAAACUGCUUUUAUACGGGAAUAACGCCCCUUACGUGUAGGGCUUUGCAUGUACCGGAUGAAUAAGGACCGGCUAAUUCCGUGCCAGCAGCCGCGGUAAUACGGAAGGUCCGGGCGUUAUCCGGAUUUAUUGGGUUUAAAGGGAGCGUAGGCCGCAUGUCAAGCGUGCUGUGAAAUGGCCGGGCUCAACCCGGGCCUUGCAGCGCGAACUGGCGUGCUUGAGUCCGCGGAAAGCAGGCGGAAUGCGUGGUGUAGCGGUGAAAUGCUUAGAUAUGGCGAAGAACCCCGAUUGCGAAGGCAGCUUGCUGCAGCGGAACUGACGCUGAGGCACGAAAGCGCGGGUAUCGAACAGGAUUAGAUACCCUGGUAGUC
RNAcentral lists this ribosomal RNA (460 nucleotides) under uncultured bacterium. RNAcentral's name for it is "partial 16S ribosomal RNA". It matches the Rfam family "Bacterial small subunit ribosomal RNA", at positions 338 to 795 of the family's 1533-position model. The record is from RNAcentral.